UAGAAAAACCGCUCUUAGAAUGUGACCUGCCAGAUGAUCAAGUCCCAGGUCCACAGUGACAAGUCAUGUUGAUAGGAAGUUCCCUUGAGGCAGCAGAAGAAACCCAGGACCAGGGAGGGGAGGGGACUGAGAGACAGAGGAUCAGCUCUUAUCCUAGCCCCUGGCAGCUGGACGGCUUAGCAAGGUGAGAGAAUAUGACAGGAACGAAGCUUCAGUAGGUCUCUGAAAGACAUGAGACCUGAAUAAAACGCUCUCUCUCCAUAGUCACACAUUUAGAUGGACAUAUAUUGUUUUUAAGUUCUCAGGUUUUCAGAUGAGGAACCCGAAUCCCUGAGACUUUGUCUUGCCUGAGAACAGGCAGCUAGC
This 366-nucleotide long non-coding RNA is filed under the name Mustela putorius furo (domestic ferret). RNAcentral's name for it is "lncRNA (ENSMPUG00000031654.1)". The record is from RNAcentral. Lineage: Eukaryota; Metazoa; Chordata; Mammalia; Carnivora; Mustelidae.